CAAAGGCAUAGUAUAAAUAGGAGCAAAGAUCUAAGAGAGUUAUUCUUAUUUGGAAGUUCUUAAGAGGGCGUGAAGAGUUGAGUUUCUACUAGGAGAAUCCUAGGCGAGGAGAAAUGCUCGUGGAAGGAAAGGUCCAAAAGCUUCGUCAUUAGGCGUUGAGACCAAGUAAGAGGAGGUAAGAUGAGUUAUGGUGCGGAAAAGCUGAUCAAAUUAUUCGUCUUCGAAUGGUUUAAAGUUAUUAUGUCCAAGGGAUGCUGCAGCACAGCUUUGUGCGUAGGUUGAGUCUUGUCUUGGAGAUGAAUUGAUAGGUGAGCAAGGAGAAGGAUAAGAAAGGGGUUCUUAUACUCUUAAACACCUUGGCGCAAAGAGUAGCAAUUUAGUGGGUGAAGGAAGACGUGGAGUUUAGGAUUUAGGUUUCAUCUAAGUGGCUUGCGAGGAAGAGAUGUAUUUGUAAAGUGUAACCAAAUAAUAAAAUUGGAGUGUGUUUUUCAUAUUA
This is a long non-coding RNA of Cucumis melo (muskmelon), 496 nucleotides long. RefSeq lists it as uncharacterized. The transcript has 2 exons. Lineage: Eukaryota; Viridiplantae; Streptophyta; Magnoliopsida; Cucurbitales; Cucurbitaceae. The record is from RefSeq and is a predicted model, not a curated record.